RNAcentral lists this small nuclear RNA (32 nucleotides) under Mus musculus (house mouse). RNAcentral's name for it is "piRNA piR-mmu-68299185". Lineage: Eukaryota; Metazoa; Chordata; Mammalia; Rodentia; Muridae. RNAcentral also lists the same sequence under 1 other name. The record is from RNAcentral.
GCUUCUCGGCCUUUUGGCUAAGAUCAAGUGUA